CAAGUACAAGUGUGAUCAGGUACGAGUGUGAUCAAGUACGAGUGUGAUCAGGUGUGAGUGUGAUCAGGUGAGAGUGUGAUCAGGUGUGAG
This is a long non-coding RNA of Sinocyclocheilus anshuiensis, 90 nucleotides long. RefSeq lists it as uncharacterized. Lineage: Eukaryota; Metazoa; Chordata; Actinopteri; Cypriniformes; Cyprinidae. The transcript has 3 exons. The record is from RefSeq and is a predicted model, not a curated record.